Long non-coding RNA from Cololabis saira (Pacific saury), 782 nucleotides. RefSeq lists it as uncharacterized. NCBI's taxonomy places the organism in Eukaryota, Metazoa, Chordata, Actinopteri, Beloniformes, Belonidae. The record is from RefSeq and is a predicted model, not a curated record. The transcript is spliced from 5 exons.
ACCUGAUGAGCCGAGUGCUGGGUUUGGUGGUUUUAAACACCCACAGGAGAGAGGCAUGAUCAGUGACCACUGUGAAGAGUCGUCCUUCCAGGUUGCGGCUGGCAAAAGCGAGGACUUCCUCUGUUCCCAAAUCUGACUUCUGGACCAUCACGGCUCCAAGCCCUACCUCGCUGGCAUCCGUGUACACCACAAAAGGAGCCUUGAAGUUUGGGUGUCCAAGGACAGGGCAUUGAGUGGCUCCGCGAUCCGUGAAAAAUUGGGAACGAACCGAUGAUACCACCCCGCCAUUCCAAGGAACCUCUGUACCGCUUUCAGAGAGGCCAGCUCUUCGCAGCUUGUCAAGGACAGAUUGUACAUCACCAAAAUGCUGCUCCCAGGAGGGGGAGAAAAUUAUGAUGUCGUCCAGAUAGACGAAGCAGAUCAAGCCUUUCAGUUCUCCUAGGGCUCUCUCCAUAAGUCUUUGGAAGGUUGCAGGAUCCAUUUCCACCUGCCAGUACCCACUAUUCAGAUCCAGUGAAGAGAAAACUGCAGCACCUGCGAGGUUAUCCAGGAUUUCCUGGAUGGUGGGAAUGGGGUAGGCAUCAGUGAUGGUGUUUUCAUUCACUUUCCGGUAAUCCACACAAAAUCUUGGUUUUCCAAUCUUCCGGGGAAUCAACACCACCGGAGAAGCCCAAGCCGAGCAAGAAGGUUCAAUGACAUCCUCCCGUAGCAUGUCAUCGAGGAGCUCCUUCAUCACCUUCAGCUUCGGAGGGGAGACACGAUAAGGUUUCUGUUGAAUGGGA